Molecule: long non-coding RNA, 3183 nt
Organism: Mustela putorius furo (domestic ferret)
Lineage: Eukaryota; Metazoa; Chordata; Mammalia; Carnivora; Mustelidae
Source: Ensembl
UUGGUAUACUCGGGAACUUUCCAAGAAUCCAGCUUCACUGAGGCGAGCAGCAGUUGCUCGGCAACAUGGGAGGUGAUUGUCGUCACGGUGCCUGGUGGGUGACCUGGGCAAGCGGAGCCUCCUGCACUGUGGGCAGGAAGACCAAGAAGGAGAGCACGGGGGCACCAGGAAGGCCAGCCAUGAUGUUGAUGAAACUGAGAAACAGCAGGUCACUCCGAUGCCAGGGCUUCCUUGUGUUCCUUCUGUCAGCUCUGAGGCACAGUGCCAAUAAGAAAGGCCAGAAGACCAGCAAAGAGAGAAAACACCCAUGGGCCAGAGGAAUUCAGGAACAAUUUUCAAGGCAGAGCUGGAACAACCAGACUUGGCGAUGCAAAUUCCCGACACUGGAUGAGUCAGGGCAAGGGGCAGGACUUGCUCACAGGCCCUGGACAGUUGAUCCCUGACUUUACAAAAAAGAAAAACGGAAGACAACCCCUUGCUGAAGCUGGACAAGAGCAAUUGGAGAGCGAGCAGAAUGGAUUCCCCUGUUGCACAAGAGAACAUCAAUGACACUUCUUCUAGAAGCACAUCUUCAUCCAUAAUUCCUAUGUUGAAAGAAUGAACUACUGAAGGUUGUCAGGAUGCUUUAACUAAUAAGCUUUCAUCCAUAAGACCAUGUUGACCUAAUUGACUUCCUGUUUUUACAUCACAUGGACCAUCUAUUAAUUGCCAUAAAGAAUGCACAUGUAGGUAAUUCUAAACUACACAUUGGCCCACGUCAUGCCUGGGCCUCAACUUUUAUAGUCACCGGGUAGUGCCUACAGAAGAGAACAUUAAACAUCCUUAGGCUAGCUCUUCGUGUGGCAGCCUCCCUAACUUCAACCUCCUCCAUCUCCAAACCACUGCUCCUCUCUCACACAACCAAGUUUUCCGUACUCUCGUUUUCUCUAAAUGCCCAUCAGGCUAACUCCUCCUUCAAGAUUCAGGCCGUGCCUUAUUUCAUCUUAAAAACAGCUUCCAACACCUCUUGCCCAUCUCCAACCCUUCUCCAGCCCCUCUCUGUUCCCCCACUGGCUUGUCCUACAUCUGUUCACAGACCUCAGCACACAGGCUGUCAUGCCUGUCACCCAUGACCAGGACCUUCUCAAGGACUGGCUCCCAGGACUGUAUCCUCAGAAUCAAACAUAUAGUCUAGCCCAAGGUGGAGACAUUCAGGAAGGGUCUGAUGGAUGAAAGAGUCUUAAUCAUGCUGUUAGCUGACUUUGGGUAGAUUAAAGCUCCAAACAAAGGAAUUUUUUCAUUAUAAGAAAUCACCUCUCAUGUAACUUCAGGUUCAAUUUCAUUCAAUGCCUGAAGCUGUGUCUGCUAACAUCGUUCUUAGUUUAAACUAUGGUUUCAUAAAUAGUCUGCAGGUCUCUAAUCCAUCAAUUCGUAUUGUCCAGUAAGGCGGGGAUCACCACACCCCAAAGCCACGGAAUCUCAUGCCUUCCACUGGGUCUGGAACACAGCAACUUGGAAAGCAGAGGGGAGAAACGGUUUCUUCCCUUUCCAGCAGACCUUUCUGAGCUUCUGUGUGUUGUUGAAAUGAGAGACACUGAGAGAUGAGACCACAAACCAAAAGUUACACCCUUGGGUCUGAAAGGUUUGGACAGACGCUAGUGUUUCUGGAAGACAAAGAGAAUCCACAAACAUGAGAAUGUAGGGAUGGAUGUUUGCACACAACGGAAGGCACGUUCUAAAGCACGUUUGCCAACUGCUUAAUUAAAUGUUUCUCAAUAUUUGAUGAGAAUUCAUAUCAGACACAGGGCUUUGACUGGAGGGAAGGGGCUCAUGCGCACUCAGAAGAAGCCUAGCAGAUCCACACUUCCACAGAUGAGCCAAACAAAGCAUAAAAACAAAACUCCAAUGGUCAUUUUCCCUAUACAUCACAUCCUGGUAGAAUUCCCACCUCUUAAGAGGAAACCUCCGUGACCACAUAAGAAAAAAAACGUUUUUAAUUUCUUUCCAGUUUUUAAACGAGUCCAAACUAAAACAAAGAUUUUAUGACUCUCUCAGUCUGCCAUGCGGAUUUCCGCCUCUGACAAAUGCCAGGAAUCCUUGUGGCUACUUUAGAUGUUCAAACCAUUUAUUAAGAGUGAGAGAGUGCCAUGUCGGAAACCGGGCUCCAGAAAGGUAGCUGAGGCCACCACUUUGGACUCCAGCCAGAAGAAGACUUCUUGGCAACAAAGUGGGCAGUUUUAGGAACUGCACAAUUGUUUAAACUCUCCUGUGCAGUUUAAGAAAAGUAUUUUCAGUGGCAAGGAGGUGCCAUAGAGCUGCAAAUACAGAUGGAAGUAUUUUCUCCAGAUCAUUGUAUUACACUGAAAAUGAAAACUAAAACCCAAUAAAAUGCUGCCAUUAUCCACCAGAGGCUUCAAAAGGAACCAAUUCUGUUUUCGGGGUUAUUGGGCCAUUGGAUAAGAGGAAGAAGGAAAAAAUUGAACAUAAAUUUUGAAAAAUGCAAACAUUAACUUCCAAUUCAAUUGGCAUCAGACUUUUGGUGGGAGGAAACAGUGUCUAUUGUACAUCAGACACAAUCGUCUUUAAACAAAUUGGUGACUGGAUGUUGAGAAAAUUAUCUCCUCUGAUCUAUGUGAGUCAAGGGUGAAUACUGCUAGAAUGGAUUUGGAUGAAGAUAUAAGGAGGCAGGAAUAGAAGUGAGAUCAUAUGGCUAGCUGCUGGCUAGAUGGAAGAAGUACUUGGGAGUGAUAGAGGCCAUUCAGCUAUCCAGACAGCCCCUGGGAGCCCACUACAGUGGGCUGAAACACACACACACUAUCAGGCACCUACAUACAACAUUGGAUUAAAGUAAGACAGAUUUUUUAAAAUGUAUGUACAAUCUGGUGAAAGCCAAAUAAGGUCUAUACCUGAGUUAAUUUUAUUGUAUCACUGUCAGUUUCCUGGUUCUGAUAAUGUACUAUGCUUAAGUAAGAUAUAAUCACUAAGGGUCACUAAGGGAAGUAUAGGAACUCACUAUGCUAUUUUUUGUAACUUCCUGUGAGUUUGAAAUUAUUUCAAAAUAAGUAGUUAUAUAUAUACACACAUAUAAAAAGUAAGGUAUAAGAUACAUUCUUGACAUGCCACACAUUGUAGAUGAGAGUCCUCAUAAGCCUGGUUCCUGGGUGGCCAAGGGGAGGAGGACUGCCCCAAUGACUUAUUGACCAG